Long non-coding RNA from Canis lupus familiaris (dog), 1031 nucleotides. RefSeq lists it as uncharacterized. The transcript is spliced from 5 exons. Lineage: Eukaryota; Metazoa; Chordata; Mammalia; Carnivora; Canidae. The record is from RefSeq and is a predicted model, not a curated record.
GGCAAGAGAAGGUACCACAGCUAGGAAGAAAAGCUGAUCCUAGUUCCUGAAAAUCAGAAUAGUAGGUAAAUUUGAAAAGAUGAGCAUGGCAGUAUCCUAUUUGUAUUGUGUGGAGAAGGAAAGCAAAUCAGGGAUCCUAAUAAAGAAUGUUGCAGACAUCUUAGUGAGAGACUGUUGUGAUCUGGACUGCAAUUUUAGCGGUGAGGAUAAGGAGAAGUUGAUAAAUUCAAGAGGCAUUUAAAGGUUUUAAUUAACAGAACUUCUGGAUUGAUUGGAAUGAGGGUGAUCAGGGCAAGGGAGACACAAUAAAAAAUAAUUACCAACUUGGUAAAUGGCGGUGUCUUUCAAUUAAAAAGAAGGGUGGGUUUAGGGUGAAAGAUUAGUUUAGCUUGGAUGAAUUGAGUGUGGCAUACUUAUAAGACAGAAUACUACAAUAAUAGGGCUGCGGAGUGAUACGAUGGUUAUUUAACCUAUGUAUUCUAUUUAUCUGGAUGUGACACUGUGAUGUUCUGCAGAGUGUUUGGAGGGACUUCAGAAAGAAUGAACCGAAUAUUUUCACGCCAUAGAGCUAGCUGUUCCAUCAGAAAAGCUUAAGGUUUGCCUCUGUUUAAUUGUGGCCAAGCUCUACCAAUACCUAAAUAGAGAGAACCAUGCUUCCUAAGCUGCAAAUGGCAGAAGUGAGAAUUGCUGCUCUCCAGUUUCUUCUGCUAUCAGCAUUUACUUGCCAGGAUAAGUUGAAAAUGCCACGUGGAGAGGCCUAUGUGGCAAAGAACUAAGGGUGGCCUGUGACCAGCAGCCGAUAAGAAACUGAAGCCCUAUGACCAACAGCCCUUGAAGAACUGCAUCCUGAUUACAACCAUGAGGGUCUCUCAGCAGUGGCUCUGGACAGGUUCCUCAUUGCCUGUACCUCCAGCUGGGCAGCUUCUACCUCUGUGGUUCAAGUAUCCAUUUUGUGGCUCCAAUUCCUGAUAUCUGGCGCACUCUGGAAAACAGUGUGGAGGCUCCUCAAGAAGUUAAAAAUAGAGCUACCC